This 253-nucleotide ribosomal RNA is filed under the name uncultured bacterium. RNAcentral describes it as "partial 16S ribosomal RNA". It matches the Rfam family "Bacterial small subunit ribosomal RNA", at positions 524 to 776 of the family's 1533-position model. The record is from RNAcentral.
UACGGAGGGUGCAAGCGUUAUCCGGAUUCACUGGGUUUAAAGGGUGCGUAGGUGGCUUUGUAAGUCAGUGGUGAAAUGCUUCCGCUUAACGGAAGAACUGCCAUUGAUACUGCUUAGCUUGAAUCAGGUGGAGGCGGAUGGAAUAUUACAUGUAGCGGUGAAAUGCUUAGAUAUGUAAUAGAACACCGAUUGCGAAGGCAGUUCGCUACGCCUGAAUUGACACUGAGGCACGAAAGCGUGGGGAUCAAACAGG